Molecule: ribosomal RNA, 206 nt
Filed under: uncultured bacterium
Lineage: Bacteria
Description: partial 16S ribosomal RNA
Rfam family: Bacterial small subunit ribosomal RNA
Source: RNAcentral
UACGUAGGGGGCAAGCGUUGUCCGGAUUAUUGGGCGUAAAGAGCGUGUAGGCGGCCAGAUAGGUCUGAUUGUGAAAACUCGAGGCUCAACCUCGAGACGCCGAUGGAAACCAUUUGGCUAGAGUCCGGAAGAGGAGAGUGGAAUUCCUGGUGUAGCGGUGAAAUGCGCAGAUAUCAGGAAGAACACCCGUGGCGUAAGGCGGCUCU